RNAcentral lists this ribosomal RNA (387 nucleotides) under uncultured bacterium. RNAcentral's name for it is "bacterial SSU rRNA". It matches the Rfam family "Bacterial small subunit ribosomal RNA", at positions 28 to 412 of the family's 1533-position model. The record is from RNAcentral.
GACGAACGUUGGCGGCGUGCCUAAUACAUGCAAGUCAACUGAAAUACCGGUAGCAAUACUGGUAUGGAGGUGGCGCACGGGUGAGUAACACGUAGGUAAUCUGCCUUCAGGUCUGACAUAACCCAUCGAAAGGUGAGCUAAUAUCAGAUGAUGCAGCGGCUUGACAUCAAGACAGUUGUUAAAGCUUCGGCGCCUGAAGAUGAGCCUGCGUCUGAUUAGCUAGUUGGCGGGGUAACGGCCCACCAAGGCUGCGAUCAGUAGCUGGUCUGAGAGGAUGAUCAGUCACACUGGAACUGAGACACGGUCCAGACUCCUACGGGAGGCAGCAGUAAGGAAUAUUGCUCAAUGGCCGAAAGGCUGAAGCAGCAACGCCGCGUGAGGGAUGAA